UACAGAGGUCUCAAGCGUUGUUCGGAUUCAUUGGGCGUAAAGGGUGCGUAGGCGGCGGGGCAAGUCGGAUGUGAAAUCUCAGGGCUCAACCCUGAAACUGCAUUCGAUACUGCCUUGCUCGAGGACUGGAGAGGAGAUUGGAAUUCACGGUGUAGCAGUGAAAUGCGUAGAUAUCGUGAGGAAGACCAGUGGCGAAGGCGGAUCUCUGGACAGUUCCUGACGCUGAGGCGCGAAGGCCAGGGGAGCAAACGGG
Molecule: ribosomal RNA, 253 nt
Filed under: uncultured bacterium
Lineage: Bacteria
Description: partial 16S ribosomal RNA
Rfam family: Bacterial small subunit ribosomal RNA
Source: RNAcentral